AGAGAGAGACAUGCGCGCAUAUCAAUAAGCGGAGGAAAAGAAACUAACUAGGAUUCCCUCAGUAACGGCGAGUGAAGCGGGAAGAGCUCAAAUUUGAAAUCUUCAAGGUUUUACCUUGACGAAUUGUAGUUUAAAGAAGUGUUUUCUGUUGGAUGUUUUGGUAAAAGUUCUUUGGAAUAGGACAUCAUAGAGGGUGAGAAUCCCGUAUUUGACCAUUAUUUCCAACUUUGUGAUACACUUUCAAAGAGUCGGAUUGUUUGGGAAUGCAGUCCAAAAUGGGUGGUAAAUUUCAUCUAAAGCUAAAUAUUGGCGAGAGACCGAUAGCGAACAAGUACCGUGAGGGAAAGAUGAAAAGAACUUUGAAAAGAGAGUUAAACAGUACGUGAAAUUGUCAAAAGGGAAGCGUUUGACACCAGUGUUGUUUUUCCGAAAAUCAAUUACGAAUGUUUUAUUUUUGAGGAGUUAUGACUUCAUCGGCUUGCUCCUUUCUUUACGAAACUUUCUUAAUGCACUUUUCGGUUAACAAGUCAACAUCAAUUUCUUUUGUUGUAAAAGGGUAUGAGGAAGGUGGCUUUCUUUUCGGAGAAAGUGUUUAUAGCCUUGUGCCUCUGCAAUCGGAGAGAUUGAGGUCUGCAGCGUAGAUCCUUCGGGGUUAGAUACGUUUGUGCUAAGUUAUAGCUUUUCAUAGACAACUUGUUGACUAUGUUUAGUCUUGUAGCUUACUCGCUUACUGCUAUUUUACCUACGCUUAGGAUGUUGAUAGUCACAGCGUGUAC
RNAcentral lists this ribosomal RNA (776 nucleotides) under uncultured Neocallimastigales. Its description in RNAcentral is "partial large subunit ribosomal RNA". It matches the Rfam family "Eukaryotic large subunit ribosomal RNA", at positions 23 to 644 of the family's 3401-position model. Lineage: Eukaryota; Fungi; Neocallimastigomycota; Neocallimastigomycetes; Neocallimastigales. The record is from RNAcentral.